AAUGAACGUUGGCGGCGUGGAUUAGGCAUGCAAGUCGAGCGAGAACCGUAGCAAUACGGGGACAGCGGCGCAAGGGAGAGUAAUACGUGGAUACCUACCCUCGGGUCCGGGAUAGCUGCGGGAAACUGCAGGUAAUACCGGAUGACAUCUCCGGAUCAAAGGGGUGAUUCCGCCCGGGGAGGGGUCCGCGUCCUAUUAGCUAGUUGGUGAGGUAACGGCUCACCAAGGCUGUGAUGGGUACGGGGUGUGAGAGCAUGCCCCCGCUCCCUGGGAAGGAGACACUGCCCAGACACCUACGGGUGGCUGCAGUGGAGAAUCUUCGGCAAUGGGCGCAAGCCUGACCGAGCGACGCCGCGUGCGAGAUGAAGGCCUUCGGGUUGUAAAUCGCUGUCAGAGGGGAGGAAAUGCCGGUGGGUUCUCUCAUCGGUUUGACCUAUCCUCAGAGGAAGGACGGGCUAAGUUCGUGCCAGCAGCCGCCGUAA
Molecule: ribosomal RNA, 482 nt
Filed under: uncultured bacterium
Lineage: Bacteria
Description: partial 16S ribosomal RNA
Rfam family: Bacterial small subunit ribosomal RNA
Source: RNAcentral